RNAcentral lists this transfer RNA (75 nucleotides) under Bacteriophage sp. RNAcentral describes it as "tRNA-Met". The record is from RNAcentral.
GCGGGAUGCUCGUACCAGUGGACAGUCGGCUGGCUCAUAACCAGUAAUCAGGUGGGUUCAAAUCCCAUUCCCGCA